UAUCUAAAUUGUUACAAAUGGGACAGUAUAUGCACCAUUCCAGAUACCUAAUCACAGCUCAAUCGAUGCUGGAGUCUCUUUCCUUUUUCUUUCUGCAGAAAACAUGCUUUACAUAGGAUCUCUUAACUUAAAGAAUGGGAAGAAGAAAAAUCGUGUUUCCAGCUUGGGCUGCUGUUUCAUCUGCUGGACUUGCUUGAGCCCUGAAUGGAAAGGAUUACUAUGCACACUUUUUGGAUACAGAAACUGAGAUUCAGAGAGGUUAAACAACUUUCCUAAAGCCACACAGCGAGAGUCCAGCUGAACUGAAGAUUGUUUGACAUCAAAGCUCAUUUCUUUCCCUA
Chlorocebus sabaeus (green monkey) is the source of this 341-nucleotide non-coding RNA. Lineage: Eukaryota; Metazoa; Chordata; Mammalia; Primates; Cercopithecidae. The record is from RefSeq and is a predicted model, not a curated record.